Molecule: long non-coding RNA, 312 nt
Filed under: Astyanax mexicanus (Mexican tetra)
Lineage: Eukaryota; Metazoa; Chordata; Actinopteri; Characiformes; Acestrorhamphidae
Description: lncRNA (ENSAMXG00005002661.1)
Source: RNAcentral
AUUUGACAGCUUAAUCAAAUAUAUAUAAUACUGUGCCUGAUAAUUAGAGUUGAAUGUUUUUAGGGUCCGCCGGGUGAUUUUGGGCCUAGUGGUAUCCAGGGCCCGAAAGGACCACAGGGUUUGAUGGUAAGCACCACUUUGAACACAGCUGUCACAAAACUUAAUGAAACAGACAGAGAUUGAUAGAUCAGCAACUACUGUAGGUGUUCCUGUUUUUCAGGGAAGGGAAGGAACCAUUGGACCAGUCGGAAUCAUCGGCCCCAGUGGAUAUCCAGGACCACAGGGGGACAAAGGAAAUCGAGGGGAAACGGU